Molecule: ribosomal RNA, 497 nt
Filed under: uncultured bacterium
Lineage: Bacteria
Description: partial 16S ribosomal RNA
Rfam family: Bacterial small subunit ribosomal RNA
Source: RNAcentral
GAUGAACGCUGGCGGCGUGCCUAAUACAUGCAAGUCGAGCGAACAGACGAGGAGCUUGCUCCUCUGACGUUAGCGGCGGACGGGUGAGUAACACGUGGAUAACCUACCUAUAAGACUGGGAUAACUUCGGGAAACCGGAGCUAAUACCGGAUAAUAUAUUGAACCGCAUGGUUCAAUAGUGAAAGACGGUUUUGCUGUCACUUAUAGAUGGAUCCGCGCCGCAUUAGCUAGUUGGUAAGGUAACGGCUUACCACGGCGACGAUGCGUAGCCGACCUGCGAGGGUGAUAGGCCACACUGGAGCGGAGACACGGUCCAGAGUCCUACGGGAGGCAGCAGUAGGGAAUCGGCCGCAAUGGGCGAAAGCCUGACGGAGCAACGCCGAGUGAGUGAUGAAGGUCUUCGGAUCGUAAAACUCUGUUAUUAGGGAAGAACAAAUGUGUAAGUAACUAUGCACGUCUUGACGGUACCUAAUCAGAAAGCCACGGCUAACUACGUG